This 26-nucleotide non-coding RNA is filed under the name Homo sapiens (human). Lineage: Eukaryota; Metazoa; Chordata; Mammalia; Primates; Hominidae. The record is from RNAcentral.
UGGUGACUUUGACUUUGACUUUGACU